RNAcentral lists this ribosomal RNA (1337 nucleotides) under Homo sapiens (human). RNAcentral's name for it is "SSU rRNA". It matches the Rfam family "Eukaryotic small subunit ribosomal RNA", at positions 3 to 1283 of the family's 1831-position model. The record is from RNAcentral. Lineage: Eukaryota; Metazoa; Chordata; Mammalia; Primates; Hominidae.
CUUGGUUGAUCCUACCAGUACCAUAUGCUUGUCUCAAAGAUUAUGCCAUACAUGUCUAAGUAGGCAGGGCCGGUACAGUGAAACUGCGAAUGGCUCAUUAAAUCAGUUAUGGUUCUUUUGGUCGCUCGCUCCUCUCCUACUUGGAAAACUGUGGUAAUUCUAGAGCUAAUGCAUGCCGAAGGGUGCUGACCCCCUUCGCGGGGAAGAUGCCUGCAUUUAUCAGAUCAAAACCAACCCGGUCAGCCCCUCUCCGGCCCCUGCCUAGGGGUCGAGUGCCACCGGCUUUGGUGACUCUAGAUAGCCUCGGGCCAAUCGCAUGCCCCCCUGUGGCAGCAACGACCCAUUCGAACGUCUGCCCUAUCAACUUUCGAUGGUAGUCGCUGUGCCUACCAAGGUGACCACGGGUGAAGGAGAAUCAGGGUUCGAUUCUGGAGAGGGAGCCUGAGAAAUGGCUACCACAUUCAAGGAAGGCAGCAGGCAUGCAAAUUACCCACUCCUGACUCGAGGAGGUAGUGAUGAAACAUAACAAUACAGGACUCUUUCGAGGUCCUGUAAUUGGAAUGAGUCCACUUUAAAUCCUUUAACGAAGAUCCAUUGGAGGGCAAGUUUAGUGCCAGCAGCCGCGGUAAUUCCAGCUCCAAUAGCGUAUAUUAAAGUUGCUGCAGUUAAAAAGCUCCUAGUUGGAUCUUGGGAGCGGGCGGGCAGUCCGCCAUGAGGCGAGCCACUGCCCGUCCCCGCCCCUUGCCUCUUGGCGCCCCCUCGAUGCUCUUAGCUGAGUGUUCCGCGGCCCAAAGCGUUUACUUUGAAAAAAUUAGAGUGUUCAAAGCAGGUCCAAGCCGCCUGGAUACCGCAGCUAGGAAUAAUGGAAUAGGACCGCGGUUCUAUUUUGUUGGUUUAUGGAACUGAGGCCAUGAUUAAGAGGGACAGCUGGGGGCAUUUGUAUUGCACCGCUAGAGGUGAAAUUCUUGGACCGGCGCAGUUUGGACCAGAGUGAAAGCAUUUGCCAAGAAUGUUUUCAUUAAUCAAGAAUGAAAGUCGGAGGUUCGAAGACGAUCAGAUACCGUGGUAGUUCUGACCAUAAACGAUGCCGACUGGCAACGUGGCGGUGUUAUUCCCAUGACCCGCUGGGCAGCUUCCAAGAAACCAAAGUCUUUGGGUUUUUAGGUUCCGGGGGGAGUACGGUUGCAAAGCUGAAACUUAAAGGAAUUGGUGGAAGGGCACCACCAGGAGUGGAGCCUGCGGCUUAAUUUGACUCAACAUGGGAAAAAUCCCCCGGGCCGGACAGGGACAGGAUUGACAGAUUGAUAGCUGUUUCUCUGUUCCAUGGGUGGUGGUGC